This 18-nucleotide small nuclear RNA is filed under the name Arabidopsis thaliana (thale cress). RNAcentral describes it as "snRNA_05172". Lineage: Eukaryota; Viridiplantae; Streptophyta; Magnoliopsida; Brassicales; Brassicaceae. The record is from RNAcentral.
UGUCCUCUUGCUCGUUUU